AUAAAACAGCUGCGAGAUGCGAGAGCCGGAGAUGAUUCACGACGCAAACACCGGCCGAAGGCGUGUUUGGUGAGAAGAAACCUUUAGUCAUCGACCUGCUCGUCCAUGGUGAUCACGUGACGCACCUCGGCCGCAGCCACUCCGAUGUCGGCACCUUUCACACAGUGGCUCGGUGCAAAAAGUCACUGCACGCUUCUUGUUGGCUUUGUUCCGACCUCUUAAUUUACCCCCCCGACGGCGAGAUUGUGUUUCUGGUUUUUGUUCGUUUGUCUGGAUUAUCGCUGCACUCGGCGGGAAGGUGAGCCGCCGGCCAAAGGAAGGAGCCGUGGCAUUUGGGAGUGGAUCCGCAUCACUGGGCCGGUACCUGGACUUUGCAGAACUGCAGGAUUAGCGAACAAUAAAA
This is a long non-coding RNA of Gasterosteus aculeatus aculeatus (three-spined stickleback), 403 nucleotides long. The record is from Ensembl. Lineage: Eukaryota; Metazoa; Chordata; Actinopteri; Perciformes; Gasterosteidae.